This 22-nucleotide non-coding RNA is filed under the name Rattus norvegicus (Norway rat). The record is from RNAcentral. Lineage: Eukaryota; Metazoa; Chordata; Mammalia; Rodentia; Muridae.
CAGUGAUGGAUAACAGGUCGGA